UUGCGCGCGGUCUGCUAUACAGGGCAGAUAUCCACGUAAGGAGUCUCUGACCGCAGCCCAGCCGUCUCAGUGUCGCCAGCAUGUAUGUCCAGUUGACCCGGUCAAAUGCUUUUUCCGCAUCGGUUGAUAGCAGUAGUAACUGGGUCCCCAAUUUCCUUGCGUGGUGCUGGAUAGAGAAGAGUCUUAGGGUGCUGUCUCUAGCUUCUCAGCCUGGGAUGAAUCCAGUCUGGUCCGCGUGUAUCAAAUCGGGAAGGAGAUGUUUAAGUCUGGUUGCUAGAACUUUCGUGAAUAGUUUGGCGUCUACGUUUAACAGUGAGAUCGGGUGGUAACUGCCGCACUGUAACGGGUCCUUCCCUGGUUUAAGUAAAACUGUGAUGGUGGCUGCUAGGGAUUCCCUUCCCAGGUUCCCUCCCUCGCCUACAGAGUUGAGUGCCUUGGUCAGCCAAGGCAGCAAUACUCCCGAAAAGCUUUUAUAAUAGCCCGUGGAGAAGCCAUCUGGCCCAGGAGCCUUGCCGGUUUUGGAUGUCUUAAGGGUUGCGGCUAGUUCUUCCGUGGUGAUUGGUGUGUCCAAUAUGGAUGCAGUGUCCUGGUCGAUCGUGUUCAUGACCGU
Non-coding RNA from Pelobates cultripes (western spadefoot toad), 610 nucleotides. Lineage: Eukaryota; Metazoa; Chordata; Amphibia; Anura; Pelobatidae. The record is from the annotation of a GenBank genome assembly.